CGCGUAGAAUUCUACCUACUAUGGGGGAUACCCCUUAAAAAAUUUGGAUUAAUACCGCAUACGUCCUACGGGAGAAAGCGGGGGAUCUUCGGACCUCGUGCUAUUACAUGAGUCUGCGUCGGAUUCCUUGUUGGUGAGGUAAUGGCUCACCAAGGCGACGAUCCGUAGCUGGUCUGAGAGGAUGACCAGCCACACUGGAACUGAGACACGGUCCAGACUCCUACGGGAGGCAGCAGUGGGGAAUAUUGCACAAUGGGCGCAAGCCUGAUGCAGCCAUGCCGCGUGUGUGAAGAAGGCCUUACGGUUGUAAAGCACUUUCAGCAGUGAGGAAAGGGGUGUCGUUAAUAGCGGCAUCCUGUGACGUUAACUGCAGAAGAAGGACCGGCUAACUCCGUGCCAGCAGCCGCGGUAAUACGGAGGGUCCGAGCGUUAAUCGGAAUUACUGGGCGUAAAGCGCGCGUAAGCGGUUUGUUAAGUCAGAUGUGAAAGCCCCGGGCUCAACCUGGGAACUGCACCUGAUACUGGCAAACUAGAGUACAUAAGAGGGUGGUGGAAUUUUCCUUGUGUAGCGGUGAAAUGCGUACAUAUAGGAAGGACCCCAGUGGCGAAGGCCACCACCUGGUCUGAUUACUGACGCUGA
This 640-nucleotide ribosomal RNA is filed under the name uncultured bacterium. RNAcentral's name for it is "bacterial SSU rRNA". It matches the Rfam family "Bacterial small subunit ribosomal RNA", at positions 114 to 749 of the family's 1533-position model. The record is from RNAcentral.